RNAcentral lists this ribosomal RNA (204 nucleotides) under uncultured bacterium. RNAcentral's name for it is "partial 16S ribosomal RNA". It matches the Rfam family "Bacterial small subunit ribosomal RNA", at positions 524 to 727 of the family's 1533-position model. The record is from RNAcentral.
UACGUAGGGACCGAGCGUUGUCCGGAAUCAUUGGGCGUAAAGAGCGUGUAGGCGGCCUUUUAAGUCCUGCGUGAAAUCCUGCGGCUCAACCGCAGACGGUCGUGGGAAACUGGAAGGCUAGAGUGCGGGAGAGGAGAGUGGAAUUCCCGGUGUAGCGGUGAAAUGCGCAGAUAUCGGGAAGAACACCCGUGGCGAAGGCGGUUC